UUUUGUUUUCAUAGGAAUUGUAGAUUAAUUUAUGACCAUUAUACCCCUAUUGCUUUCUACUCUUCGAUUUUCAUGAUGCCCACAUAUUCCUUUAGAUUCUUUUUCUGAUAAUCCAAUUCUACAUGAAAUAAAAUGUAUCUGUGUCAGACAAAUUGAUAUAUUAUAUUAUAUUCAUAAAAUUUCCCCGAACCAAGACACCUCUUCUUCUUCUUUAUACGUUACUGUUCAUCACUUAAAUGAUAUAUAUCAGACAUAACUCUAUUUACUAUGUCUUAUUUGUGUUAAUUGUCCAAUCCAAAUAGAUCCAAGCGGCCGUAAUUAGGAAAGCUUUGGCUGUUCUAUAGUGGCUCGUUGGUUUAAGGCGGAGGCUCUGCUUGAGGGCGGUGGAGCAGACAACCGAUUCCGCAAGUCAAUCAUCGGGAUCCCUAAAGUUUGUCUCGAUUGUUGAGAGGUGCUCGUUUGACGGCGGAUCUAUCCAUAGAGAUGGCGGUUCUCCCGGUGACGACUGUUCGGACUUGUGAGAAGGUGGAGACCCUUCGCAAUCAACGGCGGAAGAGUUCGAGAGUCGGGUGUUCUUUAUGGCUCUGGUGUUAUGUGGCAGCGGGGCCCCUUUGAGAUGGCUUAGCUUUGAAGGUACACCGGUGAAGGUUCUAUUAGCUGGCACGGACACUCUGCUAUAGUGAUGUCCCGGAUAAAAUGAUAUGCUGGCAGCGGUGUCUGUCGCAGGUGGCGGCUCCGCCUCCUUCGUCUUCUUUCCCACAUCUCCUCUAGUUCGCUUUAGAUUUGUGUGUUUAAUUAGGUGUGUUUCUUCUUUUUUCCAUGUAACCUAGCAAUUUCCGUUUCAUCGGAGCUCCGGUCUAUUUAUGUUCAGAUUUCCCCCUAGGGGCUUGAUAUAUAUUUAAGAGAAAGUGGAGUUUUUUUUUAUUUU
Long non-coding RNA from Brassica napus (rape), 928 nucleotides. RefSeq lists it as uncharacterized. The transcript has 2 exons. The record is from RefSeq and is a predicted model, not a curated record. NCBI's taxonomy places the organism in Eukaryota, Viridiplantae, Streptophyta, Magnoliopsida, Brassicales, Brassicaceae.